Punica granatum (pomegranate) is the source of this 986-nucleotide non-coding RNA. The record is from RefSeq and is a predicted model, not a curated record. NCBI's taxonomy places the organism in Eukaryota, Viridiplantae, Streptophyta, Magnoliopsida, Myrtales, Lythraceae.
UUUUUAGUGCUUGCUUGCUUUUUAACAUCAGUCAGCUCGUUCAUCGAGUUUUCUUAACCUUGAAUCCGCAAAACUUGCAUGUGCAGGUUUGUCCUUGCAUUUGCACUCGUAGCCGGUCCAGUUCCAGGUCUUCUGCUCCCAGAAAUAUUUCCCAGCAGAAUCAGGGCCAUGGCCAUGGCAGUUUGCAUGUCAGUGCACUGUGUGGUAAAGUUCUUUGUGGGCUUGCUCUUCCUGCGUUUACUGGAACAGCUCGGACCGCAUCUGCUCUACUCCAUAUUUGCAACCUUCUGCUUGAUGGCAGUGAUAUUUGUGAAACGGAAUGUAACGGAGACCGAAGGGAAGUCGCUUCAGGAGAUUGAGAUUGCCCUUCUUCCACAAGAUUAAAGGCGGAAGCUGUCAUCCUCAUGCCGCCUGAUUUGGUUGAGAUGGAGUUGGAAAAUUUGCUUUCGGAAAGCUCGGCAUUGGAAGCGAGGUCGUAGUUAGAAGGAUAUGUACACUAAUAUGCACGGCCCAGUUAAAGAAGAGAGGUGGAACAGAUGGUUUCAUUUAUCCAUAAGAUAGUUUUCCAAUCUAAUCUGGUUCUUGGGCUCGGCAUUAGUCAUACUUGUAGUAGACCAUCAAGUUCGCACCUUGGUGUCAGAUGGUUUCAUUUAUCCAUAAGAUAGUUUUCCAAUCUAAUCUGGUUCUUGGGCUCGGCAUUAGUCAUACUUGUAGUAGACCAUCAAGUUCGCACCUUGGUGUCUUUUCCUGUGUAUUUAUCAGGGGAUCAAUUGUCGGCAAGUCCUGUCGAGUCACAGAUUCGCUGAUUAAGUAUAGCUGAAAAUUCAUGGCGUUCUCAUCAUAAGUAGUUCAUAGUUCUUGGUUUGCUCUUUAUGUGCUUUGCCAAGAUGUACGUUGGCACUAGGAAAAAUGUUCUGCAAGUCCAAACCUCGAUGCUUUCCUUUGUUAGUAACAAAUUCAGAAUAGCCUACGAAUGAGAUUUUUUA